This 30-nucleotide non-coding RNA is filed under the name Rattus norvegicus (Norway rat). The record is from RNAcentral. Lineage: Eukaryota; Metazoa; Chordata; Mammalia; Rodentia; Muridae.
UGAUAAGUCUUUCUGUUUUAUCCAGCUACC